Molecule: ribosomal RNA, 496 nt
Filed under: uncultured bacterium
Lineage: Bacteria
Description: partial 16S ribosomal RNA
Rfam family: Bacterial small subunit ribosomal RNA
Source: RNAcentral
GAUGAACGCUGGCGGCGUGCCUAAUACAUGCAAGUCGAGCGAACAGACGAGGAGCUUGCUCCUCUGACGUUAGCGGCGGACGGGUGAGUAACACGUGGAUAACCUACCUAUAAGACUGGGAUAACUUCGGGAAACCGGAGCUAAUACCGGAUAAUAUAUUGAACCGCAUGGUUCAAUAGUGAAAGACGGUUUUGCUGUCACUUAUAGAUGGAUCCGCGCCGCAUUAGCUAGUUGGUAAGGUAACGGCUUACCAAGGCAACGAUGCGUAGCCGACCUGAGAGGGGGAUCGGCCACACUGGAACUGAGACACGGUCCAGACUCCUACGGGAGGCAGCAGUAGGGAAUCUUCCGCAAUGGGCGAAAGCCUGACGGAGCAACGCCGCGUGAGUGAUGAAGGUCUUCGGAUCGUAAAACUCUGUUAUUAGGGAAGAACAAAUGUGUAAGUAACGAUGCACGUCUUGACGGUACCGAAUCAGAAAGCCACGGCUAACUACGU